Molecule: long non-coding RNA, 2672 nt
Filed under: Sus scrofa (pig)
Lineage: Eukaryota; Metazoa; Chordata; Mammalia; Artiodactyla; Suidae
Description: lncRNA (ENSSSCG00005025991.1)
Source: RNAcentral
GGCCCUGGGCAGGCGGCCUUGCAGCCUCCGGUCCCGUCAGAUGGCCGGGGAGGGGUCUCCAUCGAGGACGCCCAGGGCUGAGGGACAGCGGGUGACCUGGAUGGCCGCUCCCGUGUGGGGUGGGCGCCCUGGCGGCCUGUUUCCAGCUUGCUCGCAACACAGCACGCAGGGCAGCGGGAAGAACUGGCUCCAGCUCAUGUUUGUUGGAAAAUCGAGUAGGAAACGAACAGCAGCCAGGAGAAAACCCGGCAGAGGGGGUGCGGGCUGGCAGGUGCCCGGGCAUGCUUGUCACACAGCAGAGCUGGGCCCUCAAGCUACUCUGGGGGUGAUGACACGGCAGAGAACCCACAGUAACAAACGCUCACGGGCACAGACGGAGGGAACGCCAGGGCAGCUCUGAUGCGACCCUAGCCUGGAAACUUGCAUAUGUUGCAAGUGCAGCCCUAAAGAGCAGAGAAAGAAAGAGAAAGAAAGAAACGUGUUUUGGAGCACAUGCUAAAAAAAAGUGAAAACAGCCGUCGGAGCCGUCUGCCGUCCCGUCAGAGUCCCCAGAAUGAGGACAGGGUGGGAGGGGGUGAGGUCAAAGCAGUGCUGGUUAAGGGAAAAUGAUUCUAUUAUAGAUUGGAACCUCUGAGAAAUGGAGAAGAGAAAAAGCAAGGUGAGUUAAUCUGAUGGAGAAUGAAGUGGGAGUUUAGAUCAGCAGAGCAAGGACUUCCAAAAAGCGCCCCCCAUGAGGGGAACACUGGAGAAAGGAAGAAAGAACACCAUCAAAAUCAACUUUUCCAGAAUUCCAGAAACUAACCUCCGCUUGCUAAAAUCAAGGAAUGAAUAGUCAAGGAAAAACAGCUAAUAAAGCUCAGGAACGAGCUUUUGACAUGUUCCUGUGUUUCCAUUCCUCUGUCUACACUCCAAGAUUAGCCUUAAAAACCAGCAGCCCAGCAGCCACCAGGGCUCGGCCUGAGGGUGGAGUUCCCCAGGUGAGUCCCAUCUCUGGGGUAUCUGACCUGUCUGGCAGCUCCUUGGAAAGCCCCAUUUGUAGGGCUGGUCAUUGUCUGGCCUGACUUAAGGUCCACUCGUUGGGAAAAGCCCAGAGCGUUUGUCAGAAACCAUCAGCGCUGAGUGUUUAACAUCACAGCUGCCAGAGGUGUGAUAAGCAGGAGGGACAAAAAGGUUAAAAAGAUCUGGGGCAUAAAACACCCAUGAGCACACUUAGACACUCUGACACUUCCCUGGGCACGAAGGCCAUUCGCGUCUGCAGGGCUGUGCACACGCCCAGGGACCGAGACGUCCUGCUUUCUCAGGUUUUGCCAACCCUGACCCUUGUGGAAGCAGGCAGCGACGGGUAAGGCAGAGCGGUCACCUGCGGGACCUUGAAGGGUCUCUGGACCCAGGUUCCUAAGGAAAUCUCUGUGCACUCGGCUGAGCAACGAGCUGCCAGCAGAGACUUCACCAUCCACACAUACCAGGGAGCUCAAAGAUGAGUUCAGGAGAGUCAGUAAACACGGCACCAAGAGCAACCAGCAACAGAAACCAGAGUCUGGGGACUAGGAAAUGGAUUUCCAGAGUUACACAUUAUAUUACUUAAAUUAUAUGACAUUACAUUAUGUUACUUAAAAUGGCUAUUUUUGGAGUUCCCAUCAAACGAAUCGAAUCUGACUAGGAACCAUGAGGUUGCGGGUUUGGUCCCUGGCCUCGCUCAGUGGGUUAAGGAUCCAGCGUUGCCGUGAGCUGUGGUGUAGGUCGCAGACACGGCUCGGGUCCUGCAUUGCUGCGGCUGUGGUGUAGGCCAGCAGCUACAGCUUUGAUGGGACCCCUAGCCUGGGAACCUCCAUAUGCCAUGGGUGUGGCCCUGAAAGGCAAAAAAAAAAAAAAGUCUACUUUUGAACAGAAAAUCAGAAGACAUGCAAAGGAAAUGUCACACACACUGGGUACCCGUUAUCGCUGUUGUCUUUUUAGGGCCGCACGCACGGCAUAUGCAGUGUCCCAGGCUAGGGGUCUAACUGGAUCUGUAGCCGCCAGUCCACACCACAGCCAGAGCAACGCCAGAUCCGAGCUGCACCUGUGACCUGUGCCACAGCUCACGGCAAUGCCAGAUCCUCAGUCCACGGAGCGAGGCCAGGGAUCAAACCCAUGAACUCACGGAUACUAGCAGCGUUCAUUACUGCUGAGCCACAACAGGAACUCCAUAGAUAAGCCUUCAAGUCAGCUUUGGUAAAUUGUGUUCAAAGAACGAAACGAAAUCGCGAGUUAAUUGCAAUAAAUGGAAUUCUAAGGAAUUAAGACACGGGUGGACUCUCACCAGGCAGAGCACCAGGGAAGAGAGAGAUUGUAAAAAGCAAAUGCAGCAGUUCCCACUGUGGCUCAGGGGUUAGGAACCUGACUAGCAUCCAUGAGGACACAGGUUCACUCCCUGGCCUCACUCAGGGAGUUAAGGAUCCGGCGAUGCUACGAGUGCAGUGGAGCUCGUGGGCUCUUGGGGGCUGAGGUGUAGGCGGGCAGCUGCAGCUCUGAUUCGACCCCUGGCCUGGGAACCUCCAUGUGCUGCAGGUGCGGCCCUAAAAUAAACUAAAUGCACACACACAUGCAGAAAAGGAAAAUGGAAAUUCUGUUGUUGAAAGUACAUGAAUUUCAGUGGGCAGAAGAAUCAGCAAACUUGAAGAUAAUCAAAUCUG